This 594-nucleotide long non-coding RNA is filed under the name Malus domestica (apple). RNAcentral describes it as "long non-coding RNA (MDOM_LNC013525)". The record is from RNAcentral. Lineage: Eukaryota; Viridiplantae; Streptophyta; Magnoliopsida; Rosales; Rosaceae.
UGUAUCUCUAUUAUGAUGUCAUGUAGGGAACUUUAGAAGAAUGUUUUGGGUUGUCGAAUGAUGUCGUCCAAUCCAAUAAAACAAGGAAAAUCUGAGAGUUAAUUAGUGAUGUCAUGGUUAAUUUGGAGCAUUGUCAUUCAUAAUUCAAUGAAGUAGUAACUGGAAAUCAAGUUAUUUGCAUGCAUGUCAUGUGUGGAGAAAAAGCCUCUAGCUAUUCCAUCCAUCAUCUUAUUUCUCAAAUUUAUUUUACAAUCUGUCUAAUUUUUCAUACUUGUUUGUUUGUUUCAACUUCAUCCAAAUCAAAACCCCCCUUUUAGUUUCUUGUUUCAGAGUGUUUCAAAUAUGUUUUAGUUUGUGUUUUUAAGUGUUUUGAUUCAAGUAAAAGUCAAUUUUCGUCCAAAGUCAUUCCUAGUGUCUAGUUUGAGUUUAUUUGGUUGUUUUAAGUUAUUUUGAGUAUUUUAAGUUUGCUUUGAGUCUUGAGAGUCUUAUUAAGUGUUUUUAAGUUUAGUUUUAUGUUUUUGAGUCAGUUUAGAUGUUAUUAGCAAGCCCUCCUAAUCCCCGUUCCAGAACGAUCCCUACUUAUACUUUUACUAC